UCCGGGGGAUGCAAGCGUUAUCCGGAAUCACUGGGCGUAAAGCGUCCGCAGGUGGUUGUGUAUGUCUAUUGUCAAAACAUCAUGCUUAACAUGAGAAAGGCAAUAGAAACUACAUGACUAGAGUGCGUUCGAGGCAGAGGGAAUUCCUGGUGUAGCGGUGAAAUGCGUAGAGACCAGGAAGAACACCGGUGGCGAAAGCGUUCUGCUAGAACGCAACUGACACUGAGAGACGAAAGCUAGGGGAGAGAAUGGG
RNAcentral lists this ribosomal RNA (253 nucleotides) under uncultured bacterium. RNAcentral describes it as "partial 16S ribosomal RNA". It matches the Rfam family "Bacterial small subunit ribosomal RNA", at positions 524 to 776 of the family's 1533-position model. The record is from RNAcentral.